This is an RNA transcript of Sapajus apella (tufted capuchin), 1119 nucleotides long. It is a transcript of the gene named group XIIA secretory phospholipase A2 pseudogene, with no coding region annotated. The transcript is spliced from 2 exons. The record is from RefSeq and is a predicted model, not a curated record. Lineage: Eukaryota; Metazoa; Chordata; Mammalia; Primates; Cebidae.
CGACGUUGCUGCCUCCCAGAGGCCGUUCCCGUAAAGCCAACGAGGCCCAGCCGGCCAGCAGGGAAGGAGGCGUGGAUGUGGAGCCGGUGGCUGCCAAGCCCCGGGCCCGCGCCGCUGCCUAGCGCGUCCCGGGGGCUCCGUGGGGACACGCCUGCCGCCGCGGCUCCGGGACCCGUACAGCCCCGCGCUGCGCGGAUGGCCCUGCUCCCGCGCCCCGCGCUCAUCCUCCUGCUCCUCCUCACGGCCGCUGUUGUCAGGUGCCUGGAGCAGGCCCAGACCACCGACUGGAGGACCACCCUGAAGACCAUCCGGAACGGCGUUCACAAGAUAGACACGUACCUGAACGCCGCCUUGGACCUCCUGGGAGGCGAGGACGGUCUCUGCCAGUAUAAAUGCAGUGACGGAUCUAAGCCUUUCCCACGUUAUGGUUAUAAACCCUCCCCACCGAAUGGAUGUGGCUCUCCACUGUUUGGUGUUCAUCUUAACAUUGGUAUCCCUUCCCUGACAAAAUGCUGCAACCAACACGAUAGGUGCUAUGAGACCUGUGGCAAAAGCAAGAAUGACUGCGACGAGGAGUUCCAGUAUUGCCUCUCCAAGAUCUGCCGAGAUGUACAGAAAACACUAGGACUAACUCAGCAUGUUCAGGCCUGUGAAACAACAGUGGAGCUCUUGUUUGACAGUGUUAUACAUUUAGGUUGUAGACCAUAUCUGGACAGCCAGCGAGCCGCAUGCAGGUGUCAUUAUGAAGAAAAAACCGAUCUUUAGGAGAUGCCGACAGCUGGUGAUGGAAGAAGACCAAAGAACAUAACCUUUGACAAAUAACUAAUGUUUUUACAACAUAAAACUGUCUUUAUUUUUGUGAAAGGAUUAUUUUGAGACCUUAAAAUAACUUAUAUCUUGAUCUUAAAACCUCAAAGAAAAAAAGGGAGAUAAUAAGGGGAGGGCACGCUUGUCUUCUCAGGUAUCUUCCUGGGCACUGCUCCCUUAGUAUGCCAAAUGUCUUGACCAGUAUCAAAAACAAGUGCUCAUUAAGGGGAGAAUUUUUGAAUAGAAGAAUAUAUAACUCAGUUUUCACACCUAUAUUUACCAAAGAGAAAUCAAAUAUAAAAUUCAUUAUAA